This 1348-nucleotide ribosomal RNA is filed under the name Evandromyia infraspinosa. RNAcentral describes it as "16S ribosomal RNA". The stretch from base 1084 to 1243 matches the Rfam family "Eukaryotic large subunit ribosomal RNA", at positions 2825 to 2984 of the family's 3401-position model. Lineage: Eukaryota; Metazoa; Arthropoda; Insecta; Diptera; Psychodidae. The record is from RNAcentral.
AUAUAAUAGCUUUAUUAAUUAAUUAAAAAUAAAAUAAUAUUAUUUUAAGUAUUUAUUAAAGAAAAAAUAAUAGAGAAUUAUAGAAAAUUAGUAAUGAAAAUGAAAGGUAAAAUAAUUUUGAAAAUAUAAAUAUAAUAAAAGAAAUUUUUAGUUAAUGUACCUUUUGUAUCAGGGGUUAUUUAAUAAAUAAUAUAAAGUAUAUUAAUCUCGAAAUAAAAAGAUUUAAUUUAAUAUUUUUUUUAUUGUAAUAAAAUUAUUUAAAAUAUUAAGUUAGAAGUUAUAAAUUAAUCGGAUUUUAUUAUAUCUAGUUUUUUAAGAAAUAAAUUAAAUUUAGCUUAUUAUUUUUAUUUAAAAUUAUUUAAUAAUAAAAUAAUAAAAAGUAAGUUAUAUAAUAAGGGAUAAGCUUUAUUAUAUUUUUAUAAAAUAAUUUAAUAGUAGAAAGUAGUUAUAUAUUCUUAGAAAUAGAAAUUAUAUAUUAGUAUGUUAUAAUUUAAUUAUACUUGUAGUAAAUACAUAUUAUUUAUUUUUUUUUUAAAAUAAUAUAUUAAAAUAUUUAAUUUAAUUAAGAAAAUUAAAGGGAUAAUAAUAAUAUUAGUAUAUAUAAAAUUUAAUUUUUAUUAUAAAAAUUUAAUAUAAAUUUAAUUAAAUAAAUAUAAGGAAUUCGGCAAAUUUAAUGUUCACCUGUUUAUUAAAAACAUCUCUUUUAGAGUUUUAUUUAAGGUUUAAUCUGCCCACUGAAGUUUAAAGGGCCGCAGUAUAUUAACUGUGCAAAGGUAGCAUAAUCAUUAGUUUUUUAAUUGAGAGCUAGAAUGAAUGAUUGGAUGAAAUAUUUACUGUCUUAUAUUUAUUAUUAUAGAAUUUUAUUUUUUAGUUAAAAAGUUAAAAUAAGAUAAAAAGACGAGAAGACCCUAUAGAUCUUUAUAUAUUUUAUUAAUUUAAUAAUUAUUAGUUAUUUUUUAUUUUGAUUUAUAAGUGUAUUAUAUUGGGGUAAUAAUAAAAUUAAAAAAAUUUUUAUUUAAUAAAACAAUAAAUAUAUGUAUUUUUGAUCUUGUAUUAUUGAUUAAAAGAAAAAGUUACCUUAGGGAUAACAGCAUAAUGAUUUUUGAGAGUUCUUAUUGAUAAAAUAGUUUGUGACCUCGAUGUUGAAUUAAAAUAAAUUUUAGGUGCAGAAGUUUAAAUAAUUAGGUCUGUUCGACCAAUAAUAUUUUACAUGAUUUGAGUUUAGACCGGCGUAAGCCAGGUCAGUUUCUAUCUUUUAUUAAAAAAAUAUAUUUUAGUACGAAAGGAUUAAAUAUAUAAUAAAUUUUAUUAAAUAUUUAGAAAGAAUAAUAAUAAUAGAUAAUUAAAA